Molecule: ribosomal RNA, 547 nt
Filed under: uncultured Bacteroidales bacterium
Lineage: Bacteria; Pseudomonadati; Bacteroidota; Bacteroidia; Bacteroidales
Description: bacterial SSU rRNA
Rfam family: Bacterial small subunit ribosomal RNA
Source: RNAcentral
AUUGGGUUUAAAGGGUGCGUAGGCGGCACAGUAAGUUAGAGGUGAAAUCCGGUGGCUUAACCACCGAACUGCCUCUGAUACUGCUGAGCUAGAGAGUAGAUGCGGCAGGCGGAAUGUGUGGUGUAGCGGUGAAAUGCUUAGAGAUCACACAGAACACCGAUUGCGAAGGCAGCUUGCCAAUCUAUAUCUGACGUUGAGGCACGAAAGCGUGGGUAGCAAACAGGAUUAGAUACCCUGGUAGUCCACGCAGUAAACGAUGAUAGCUCGUUGUCGGCGAUAUACAGUCGGUGACUUAGCGAAAGCGUUAAGCUAUCCACCUGGGGAGUACGUUCGCAAGAAUGAAACUCAAAGGAAUUGACGGGGGCCCGCACAAGCGGAGGAACAUGUGGUUUAAUUCGAUGAUACGCGAGGAACCUUACCCGGGCUUGAAAGUUAGUGACGGACUUGGAAACAGGUCUUCCCUUCGGGGCACGAAACUAGGUGCUGCAUGGUUGUCGUCAGCUCGUGCCGUGAGGUGUCGGAUUAAGUUCCAUAACGAGCGCAACCC